GAUGAACGCUGGCGGCGUGCCUAAUACAUGCAAGUCGAGCGAACAGACGAGGAGCUUGCUCCUCUGACGUUAGCGGCGGACGGGUGAGUAACACGUGGAUAACCUACCUAUAAGACUGGGAUAACUUCGGGAAACCGGAGCUAAUACCGGAUAAUAUAUUGAACCGCAUGGUUCAAUAGUGAAAGACGGUUUUGCUGUCACUUAUAGAUGGAUCCGCGCCGCAUUAGCUAGUUGGUAAGGUAACGGCUUACCAAGGCAACGAUGCGUAGCCGACCUGAGAGGGUGGUUCGGCAACACUGGAAUGAGAACCGGGCCAGGAUCCUACGGGGAGGCGCAGUAGGGGAUCUUCCGCAAUGGGGGGAAGCCUUGCGGAACAAAGGCGCGGGGGGGGAGAAGGGCUUCGGAUCGUAAAAACUCUGUUAUUAGGGAAGAACAAAUGUGUAAGUAACUAUGCACGUCUUGACGAUACCUAAUCAGAAAGCCACGGCUAACUACGUG
Molecule: ribosomal RNA, 498 nt
Filed under: uncultured bacterium
Lineage: Bacteria
Description: partial 16S ribosomal RNA
Rfam family: Bacterial small subunit ribosomal RNA
Source: RNAcentral